This 614-nucleotide ribosomal RNA is filed under the name uncultured archaeon. RNAcentral describes it as "bacterial SSU rRNA". It matches the Rfam family "Archaeal small subunit ribosomal RNA", at positions 180 to 807 of the family's 1478-position model. The record is from RNAcentral.
GCGGUACCGAAAGCCCGGGCCUAGGAGGAUUGCGGCGAUAGGUCGUGUUGAAGAAGGCCCAACAAGCCCGUAAUCGGUACGGGUUGUGGGAGCAAGAGCCCGGAGAUGGACUCUGAGACACGAGUCCAGGCCCUACGGGGCGCAGCAGGCGCGAAAACUUUACAAUGCGGGAAACCGUGAUAAGGGAACCCCGAGUGCCCGUACACGCGGGCUGUUAAGGUGUUUAAAACGCAUCUCGAGAAAGGGCCGGGCAAGACCGGUGCCAGCCGCCGCGGUAAUACCGGCGGCUCGAGUGGUGACCACUAUUAUUGGGCUUAAAGCGUCCGUAGCUGGACUGUUAAGUCCCUUGGGAAAUCCGCCGGCUUAACCGGUGGGCGUCUAAGGGAUACUGGCGGUCUAGGGACCGGAAGAGGUGAGAGGUACUCCAGGGGUAGGAGUGAAAUCCUGUAAUCCUUGGGGGACCACCUGUGGCGAAGGCGUCUCACUAGAACGGCUCCGACAGUGAGGGACGAAAGCUGGGGGAGCAAACCGGAUUAGAUACCCGGGUAGUCCCAGCUGUAAACGAUGCGCGUUAGGGUGGUAUCGGUGACCACGAGUCACCGAGGUGCCGAAAG